CCAGACUCCUACGGGAGGCAGCAGUGGGGAAUAUUGCACAAUGGGGGAAACCCUGAUGCAGCGACGCCGCGUGAGUGAUGAAGUAUUUCGGUAUGUAAGGCUCUAUCAGCAGGGAAGAAAGAAAUGACGGUACCUGACUAAGAAGCCCCGGCUAACUACGUGCCAGCAGCCGCGGUAAUACGUAGGGGGCAAGCGUUAUCCGGAUUUACUGGGUGUAAAGGGAGCGUAGACGGCAGUGCAAGUCUGAAGUGAAAGGCGGGGGCCCAACCCCCGGACUGCUUUGGAAACUGUGCUGCUGGAGCGCAGGAGAGGCAAGUGGAAUUCCUAGUGUAGCGGUGAAAUGCGUAGAUAUUAGGAGGAACACCAGUGGCGAAGGCGGCCUGCUGGACGAUGACUGACGUCGAGGCUCGAAAGCGUGGGGAGCAAACAGGAUUAGAUACCCGAGUA
Molecule: ribosomal RNA, 447 nt
Filed under: uncultured bacterium
Lineage: Bacteria
Description: partial 16S ribosomal RNA
Rfam family: Bacterial small subunit ribosomal RNA
Source: RNAcentral